RNAcentral lists this ribosomal RNA (433 nucleotides) under uncultured bacterium. Its description in RNAcentral is "partial 16S ribosomal RNA". It matches the Rfam family "Bacterial small subunit ribosomal RNA", at positions 28 to 507 of the family's 1533-position model. The record is from RNAcentral.
GACGAACGCUGGCGGCAUGCUUAACACAUGCAAGUCGAACGGGACCGUCGGGUCUAGUGGCGCAGGGGUGCGUAACGCGUGGGAACCUGCCCUUAGGUUCGCAAUAACUCCCCGAAAGGGGUGCUAAUACCGGAGAAUGUCUUAGGACCUAAGAUUUUUCGCCUUUGGAUGGGGGCGCGUUAGAUUCGCUAGUUGGUAGGGUAAAAGCCUACCAAGGCGACGAUGCAUAGCUGGUCUGAGAGGAUGAUCAGGCAGACUGGCACUGCGACACGGCCCAGCCUCGUACGGGAGGCAGCAGUGGGGAAUAUUGGGCAAUGGGCGAAAGCCUGAUAAAGCAAUGCCGCGUGAGUGAUGAAGGCCUUAGGGUUGUAAAGCUGUUUUAGCCGGGAUGAUAAUGACAGUACCGGGAGAAUAAGCUCCGGCUAACUCCGUG